GGCGGUGUGUGCACGGGCGGUGUGUGCACGGGCGGUGUGUGCACGGGCGGUGUGUGCACGGGCGGUGUGUGCACGGGCGGUGUGUGCACGGGCGGUGUGUGCACGGGCGGUGUGUGCACGGGCGGUGUGUGCACGGGCGGUGUGUGCACGGGCGGUGUGUGCACGGGCGGUGUGUGCACGGGCGGUGUGUGCACGGGCGGUGUGUGCAUGAAGAAGCUCUUCGGAGUGUAAAGUGCUUUUAUUUGGGAAGAAACAAUGACUGUACCAGAUGAAUAAGGGGCUGCUAAACUCGUGCCAGCAGCAGCGGUAAUACGAGUGCCCCUAGCGUUAUCCGGAUUUAUUGUGCGUAAAGAGUACGUAGGCGGUUU
Molecule: ribosomal RNA, 368 nt
Filed under: uncultured archaeon
Lineage: Archaea
Description: bacterial SSU rRNA
Rfam family: Bacterial small subunit ribosomal RNA (bases 162-368)
Source: RNAcentral